Molecule: non-coding RNA, 1824 nt
Organism: Anas platyrhynchos (mallard)
Lineage: Eukaryota; Metazoa; Chordata; Aves; Anseriformes; Anatidae
Source: RefSeq, a predicted model, not a curated record
UCCGGGCGGCUGCAGCCCGCGGAUCCCUCCGCCCGGCCACCCGCGGAUCCUUCCGCCAGCGCGCUCUCUUCCUCUUCCCCCCCCACCUCCCCUCCUCUACUCAGCGCGGGGCGGGGCCGCGGGGGAGCCGCCGCUGCAGCGGGGCUCGUGCCCGGCGCGCGCGCUCCCGGCCGUUGCGGAGGGGCGCGAGCGGGGCCCAACGGCUGCGCCGCCUCAGCUGGGCUGGGGGCGGCUGAGGGGGGGGCCUCCGGGAGUAGCCCCCGGGGCUCCUCUGGGAAAAAGCAAGAUCUUUGGAGUGAAUGUUACGGUCCUCCUGUAAAACAAAGACUAACAGCACUAAAAGUGUGUGGAGGAGCUUCAUAGUUUCUGCAGCUGUCAAGCCAAAUGAGCUGAAAUCUGACUGAAAUCUUCCACCAUGCCCCCUGUCCCCAGGAUGGAUCUCACUCAGGAGUCUGGCAAGGUAUACGCACAGACUGGUACUGCUUCCUCAAUUAGCAAGCCAGCAGGCCACCUCAAGUUAUAAGAACCCAUCUUUGCCUAUCCUCUCAGCACUGUACCCCUCAUAAAGAUCACACCCCAAGCUCUCAAGUGUAACUGAGAUAUGUUUAGUUCUCCAUACAGUGUGGUUCACUUUGAAAUUUCAUCUCUAUUUUCUCCUUUAAGAGUAAAAUACUAUAUUUCAGUUAUAAUAGAAUGGACAAGAUAGUUGGAAUGAUUCUUUGACUUUGAAAUAAUAGAAUGUAGAAACAUUAAAUAGCUGUAAUUGUUUCAAGUAUUCCAGGGAUGUAUUCAGUAAUUUUUUGGAACUGUAAAACUUUAUACUUUUUGUAAUGUCUAAAUGCACAGGGAGAAAAACCUUGUUUUUUCACAUUUUCAUGAUCUAAAGCAGACCUGUCUUUAUGUAAUAGCAUGUGGCCUACUGCUUUUGAAAAAAGAGAUAUAGAGAUUUACCUUUAUACUUGAAGUGUUGUGUUUGUUCUUGUACAGGUAAAGUAUUUCUGUCUAAUUUCCAUCGCAUCUCCUCUGCUACCACAUCAAAGGUUCUACACAGAGGGCACUGAAAUUAUUACAAACAAUGUCUUUGUGCCUAGACCCCAGUUCUGCAGGUUACAGAAUUGUUUCAUGAUCUCACCUUUUUUUUUUUUUUUUAACCAUAACUUUCUAUGCCAGUUUUUGCAAACUGAAAAGAACAGGAACACAAAGUAAAGCCUCAAGUCUGCAGACAGCAUGAAAGCAUAAUUGUGUUUACAGCCCCAUUUACCUCGUCAGAAUUUGUCAAAUGAUUUGUGGUUAGCCCUGCCCACACUGAACUAAGGGAAGAGACCGAUCUGUGACAAGAAUGUAAACGUAAUUACCCAUCUUCAGCUGCUGCAUGAAACAGUGGUUUUCUCUUCCUCUUGUACAGAAGCAAAGGAAAGAGGUGACAGAGAAAGCUCUUGCUGCGUUUUUUGGUUACUGAUCUGCACUGCCAGGUUGCUACAUCUUUGCAGGGCCUCAUGACGAAUACAAAACAGGAAUCAAAUGUGGAUGAUUGGGACCCACUGCAGGGUUAUAAAUGUGCAGUCAAAAUUAGAAUUUUCUGUAUCUGGGAUGAUUUAACAGGACUGUGGUCAUUGGAAAUUGCAAGCUAAUGAGAAGGACAGUAACCUCACCUGUUCUUACAUAUGUUUGCUCCCAGAGAAAUCUGUUUUCCCUAUCAAACCAUGGCUACAGGAAUAGAUGGGACAAUACCAGAGAGAGCAAGGCCACCAAGAGUCCAAGUCUCAGUAUGGCUAGGAAUUUCCCAAGAUCCCAGAAAGUACACUAGACUAAAAGUUACUUUUU